Molecule: ribosomal RNA, 253 nt
Filed under: uncultured bacterium
Lineage: Bacteria
Description: partial 16S ribosomal RNA
Rfam family: Bacterial small subunit ribosomal RNA
Source: RNAcentral
UACAGAGGGGGCGAGCGUUGUUCGGAAUUACUGGGCGUAAAGGGCGCGUAGGCGGCCCGCUAAGUCGAACGUGAAAUCCCCGGGCUCAACCCGGGAACUGCGUCCGAUACUGGCAGGCUUGAAUCCGGGAGAGGGAUGUGGAGUUCCAGGUGUAGCGGUGAAAUGCGUAGAUAUCUGGAGGAACACCGGUGGCGAAGGCGGCAUCCUGGACCGGUAUUGACGCUGAGGCGCGAAAGCCAGGGGAGCAAACGGG